AACCAUAGUGGGGGCAAGAGCUUGUAGUUCUUUAUAUCUUUUCCAUGCUUAAUAUAAAGUUUCGCUAUCAUUUUGAGUAAAUGAGGAAAUUUGUUUCUUAAGGGC
This 105-nucleotide small nucleolar RNA is filed under the name Olea europaea subsp. europaea. RNAcentral describes it as "Plant small nucleolar RNA R71". It matches the Rfam family "Plant small nucleolar RNA R71". From Rfam's summary of the family: R71 is a member of the C/D box family of snoRNAs containing the C (UGAUGA) and D (CUGA) box motifs. Multiple nearly identical copies of this snoRNA have been identified in Arabidopsis, and it is thought to function as a 2'-O-ribose methylation guide for 18S ribosomal RNA. Lineage: Eukaryota; Viridiplantae; Streptophyta; Magnoliopsida; Lamiales; Oleaceae. The record is from Rfam by way of RNAcentral.